Non-coding RNA from Macaca mulatta (Rhesus monkey), 1429 nucleotides. NCBI's taxonomy places the organism in Eukaryota, Metazoa, Chordata, Mammalia, Primates, Cercopithecidae. The record is from RefSeq and is a predicted model, not a curated record.
AAAAAAAAAGAACACCCAAGGUUCAAGUUGGUGCACAAGAUGUUCCUCCCAUGAAACCCCCAAGGCCCUCCUGAUCCCUUCAUCACCAAGCCCCAGUGGUGAACUGCACCUUCUCUGUCUGCUCACAACCCUCAGAUUGACAUAUUGGAACUUCCUUUCCCUUGACAUCUCUUUUAGUGUAUUUUAACCAGCCCCUUGCAUCUUGGUAGAAAUGAACCCCGUUUGGAAGGGGAGGGGGAACUUUGAAAAAUGUCUAAUCACGUUUUCCAAUGAGUCACUUUUUCUUCCUGGAAAUAAUGCUAGGUCAUAUUCCUAGAAACACUUUCCUGACUGAGUAGCCUUUCUGAAGAGGCUCCAUAUGUCCCCUUGCGCAAAGCUUUCCUUGGGGUCCCCAGCUUUAAGGUUCUGCCACAGUGCUGUUGGAAGCGUUGAUUUUUUUCACAGAUAAAAUGGGAGAGUUGACUUUAGUGAGAGAUAUUAAGAGGUGGAGGAGAGAACCUAACAAUGUGAGUCUUUACCAUGUGCCAAGCCCUGCAGAGGAUGCGUUAAUAAAGCCGGAGCUGCUCAUCGAAGUGAUGUGAUACCCAUAUGAGGUGGAAAAUAUUCAACGUCAUACCACGGAUGUGCAGAAGAAGAAAGAAAUCCUAUUUGGAAUGAAGUCAGGCAGUUGGAAUUUGCAGAAGGAAAUCCUGGCAGCCCGCGGUGUUUGAGGCAUUACAUAAACAUCUGAUAUUUGACUCUAACUAUCGGCACUUGGUGUCAGCAUAUAAAUGUUGGGUUGGAAAAGUAGACAAAUUGAUUUUCCAUUUCUCUCAUUCUAGUUUCUUCCUUUCAUUGAUGCUAUAGUCACGGAUCUUAUUACUAGCAUAACAGUCAGUAAUAUACACAUGUUAUUUCUCUGGUUAAAGAAUAAUUCUUUUCAAAGCUCCAUAAUGUGAUAAACUGACCCUGAAUUAUGACCAUAAAAAUAAUAAUUUACUCUUUUCUCCAAAGCUAUCAAAAAAUUCUCGAGCUCUAGAACCUAUAAACUGUCUAACCUUAAGCCAUUGUUAUAUAUUUUUCACAUUUUAUGAGUUAAAAUAGACUUGAGAGUUAAGAAGAGGAAAGUAUUGGUCCAUCUACUUCCCUGCCUGGAACACUAAGGGUCAGAGAGGUUAACUUACCUGUUCAAGGUGAAAAAAAUAGAAAGCAGGGCUAGAUUGCAAUUAAUGGUAUCUCCUCAUUACUUUUUUUUUUUCUCUCUCAGAAUCACGUUUUUGUAUUCCAGUAUAAAUAUUGAGUUUGAACGCAUGAAAAUCAUUUUCCUGGUAUGUAACAGGGCGGUUGGAUUUUGUUUUCCUUUCUGGCCUGUUUCCUGAGGCUGUUAAGAAGAGCCAGAGAUCAAGAAUUUGAGUCCUUAAAUGCAAAAUAAAAAGUAUUGCCAGUGGAA